Ovis aries (sheep) is the source of this 72-nucleotide transfer RNA. It matches the Rfam family "tRNA". Rfam says of the family: Transfer RNA (tRNA) molecules are approximately 80 nucleotides in length. NCBI's taxonomy places the organism in Eukaryota, Metazoa, Chordata, Mammalia, Artiodactyla, Bovidae. The record is from Rfam.
UCCCUGGUGGCUCAGACGGUAAAGUGCCUGCCUGCAAUGCAGGAGAUCCGGGUUCGAUUCCUGGGUUGGGAA